AGAUUGAACGCUGGCGGCAGGCCUAACACAUGCAAGUCGAGCGGUAGAGAGGUGCUUGCAUCUCUUGAGAGCGGCGGACGGGUGAGUAAUGCCUAGGAAUCUGCCUAGUGGUGGGGGAUAACGUUCGGAAACGGACGCUAAUACCGCAUACGUCCUACGGGAGAAAGCGGGGGACCUUCGGGCCUCGCGCCAUUAGAUGAGCCUAGGUCGGAUUAGCUAGUUGGUGAGGUAAUGGCUCACCAAGGCGACGAUCCGUAACUGGUCUGAGAGGAUGAUCAGUCACACUGGAACUGAGACACGGUCCAGACCUCCGUACGGGAGCCAGCAGGUGGGGAAUAGUUAGGACAAGUGGGA
This 354-nucleotide ribosomal RNA is filed under the name uncultured soil bacterium. Its description in RNAcentral is "bacterial SSU rRNA". It matches the Rfam family "Bacterial small subunit ribosomal RNA", at positions 26 to 379 of the family's 1533-position model. The record is from RNAcentral.